AGCUAUCCUUCACUUAAGAGUCUUCUCGGCUGGGGAUGGCCCGGUGGUGCAGCGGUUAAGUUCACACGUUCCACUUCGGCAGCCCAGGGUUCACCAGUUCGGAUCCCGGGUGCGGACAUAGCACUGCUUGGCAAGCCAUGCUGUGGCAGGCGUCCCACAUAUAAAGUAGAGGAAGAUGGGCAUGGAUGUUAGCUCAGGGCUAGUCUUCUUCAGCAAAAAGAGGAGGAUUGGCAGCAGUUGUUAGCUCAGGGCUAAUCUUCCUCAAAAAAAAAAAAAAAAAAGUCUUCUCCGGGUGCCAGACCUUACAAAAAAAAGGAAACCAGUGGGUCUUAAUUUGGGAUUAACUGACCUUUACAAGGGGGCAGGAUGGAGGAGUGACCUCCAGAGGGCGCCAGAGUGAUUCUAUGUUAAGUAGCUGCUGAAGUCCAGGAGAAUAGGGGAAACAGGUAGGACCUUCGCGUCCCAAAGGCUCAGGUGGAAAACCUGAUUCUGCUUCUUGUUUGCAUGUGGCAAACUUGGGCAACUUAUUUAACCAUUUAGAGCUUCAGCUUCCCCAUCUAUAAAAUGCGAGUUGCAGUACCUACCUCGAAGGGCUGUCAUGAAGACAAAAGGAGAUAAAGGAGGCUUACAUGAGAUAACACCGACGGAGCGCAGGGGGCAAGGAAUUAUUGCAGAGGAUCUGCAUCUCCGUUGGCACAUCAGGCCCACUGUCCACAUUGAAUUUACACUGCCCGCGCACAUGUGGUCAACCAUUUUCCAUACACACUGAGCACUGUCGCUGUCACGUGGGAGUCUGCAGAUGUGUUUGCCACGAGAUGAGAGUCCUCAGAGGCCCCCAGGAAGAUGAUGCAGGCUGCAAGCUCCAUGAAUCAGAAGAGGACUCGUCCCUCUUUGUGUCUUCUGUGGUGGCCUCAGCAAAGUAUGUGUCAUUCCAAGAUUGUCCACUCAUUGGUUACUGCCCUUCCAGAGCCAAAAGGACCAGAGGAAAGGCUGCCUGGUCAGAGGUCAACGCCAUUGGAGGUCCAGUCAACAGGGCCUCACUGAGGUCACUUCGUCUGGCUCCUGCCAUCGGCCACACCCAGCUGCUUUACUCUCCGAAACAUCCUUUGAGUGCAAGAGCGGUGCCUUUCACAUCCUCUCCUUCACUCGCCCUCCUGGUCAGCAGCAUCUCCUCCCUCCCAGGUGCCCCAGGGUUUCAGCCACUCCAGGUUCCACUGAGAUGGAAAUGCAUCCACACUAAGUCGUGGGAAAGGACUGAGCAUCAGAACCAGCAUCCGACUCUGGACCUGCCCCAGCUCUGCCUCUGCACCUCUGAAGAGUAACUCCCAUCCUGCCUUCUGGGCUCAUUAGGAGAAUCAAACAAGAUGACGUGUUAAUGGGCUUUACCACCUGGACCAUGUGAAACAGAGCUGAGGGGUCAUUAUUACCUGCAUUUUAAAGAGAAACCUUUAGGUUUUGAGUUUUAAAGCAGUUUUACUAAACCUAAUGAUGGAAGUUCAGACCAAGUUCAGACCUUUCUUUUCUGGAAAGAAGAGAAAUAUGGGGACACCAGGAUUGCUCAGGCCCAGGCAAGUGACAUCACACAAGUAGGCGCAAGUCUUUGGUCGGUCUGUGUCCCUUCUCUGUCACUCAGGGUAGGUGCUGCAGGAGUAGAGGAGGGCGAGGGUGGGUGGGCUUCUCUUGUGUUGGGCAAGAGAGUGGACAAUGGGGAGAUGUCUGCCAUGUCCGGCCUGGGCAGGUUGCUCCUUGGGGCCCAGCUAGUCUCUAGGUCACUUCACAAAAGGCUGCUGUACC
Molecule: long non-coding RNA, 1794 nt
Filed under: Equus asinus (donkey)
Lineage: Eukaryota; Metazoa; Chordata; Mammalia; Perissodactyla; Equidae
Description: lncRNA (ENSEASG00005036323.1)
Source: RNAcentral